GGGUUGUGAGGUUAAGCGACUAAGCGUACACGGUGGAUGCCCUGGCAGUCAGAGGCGAUGAAGGACGUGCUAAUCUGCGAAAAGCGCCGGCGAGGUGAUAUGAACCUUUGACCCGGCGAUGUCCGAAUGGGGAAACCCAGUGUGAUUCGUCACACUAUCGUUAACUGAAUACAUAGGUUAACGAGGCGAACCGGGGGAACUGAAACAUCUAAGUACCCCGAGGAAAAGAAAUCAACCGAGAUUCCCCCAGUAGCGGCGAGCGAACGGGGAGCAGCCCAGAGUCUGAAUCAGCUUGUGUGUUAGUGGAAGCGUCUGGAAAGUCGCACGGUACAGGGUGACAGUCCCGUACACGAAAGCACACAGGUUGUGAACUCGAAGAGUAGGGCGGGACACGUGGUAUCCUGUCUGAAUAUGGGGGGACCAUCCUCCAAGGCUAAAUACUCCUGACUGACCGAUAGUGAACCAGUACCGUGAGGGAAAGGCGAAAAGAACCCCGGCGAGGGGAGUGAAAAAGAACCUGAAACCGUGUACGUACAAGCAGUGGGAGCACCUUCGUGGUGUGACUGCGUACCUUUUGUAUAAUGGGUCAGCGACUUAUAUUCUGUAGCAAGGUUAACCGUAUAGGGGAGCCGAAGGGAAACCGAGUCUUAACUGGGCGUUAAGUUGCAGGGUAUAGACCCGAAACCCGGUGAUCUAGCCAUGGGCAGGUUGAAGGUUGGGUAACACUAACUGGAGGACCGAACCGACUAAUGUUGAAAAAUUAGCGGAUGACUUGUGGCUGGGGGUGAAAGGCCAAUCAAACCGGGAGAUAGCUGGUUCUCCCCGAAAGCUAUUUAGGUAGCGCCUCGUGAACUCAUCUUCGGGGGUAGAGCACUGUUUCGGCUAGGGGGCCAUCCCGGCUUACCAACCCGAUGCAAACUACGAAUACCGAAGAAUGUUAUCACGGGAGACACACGGCGGGUGCUAACGUCCGUCGUGAAGAGGGAAACAACCCAGACCGCCAGCUAAGGUCCCAAAGUCAUGGUUAAGUGGGAAACGAUGUGGGAAGGCACAGACAGCCAGGAUGUUGGCUUAGAAGCAGCCAUCAUUUAAAGAAAGCGUAAUAGCUCACUGGUCGAGUCGGCCUGCGCGGAAGAUGUAACGGGGCUAAACCAUGCACCGAAGCUGCGGCAGCGACACUUAUGUGUUGUUGGGUAGGGGAGCGUUCUGUAAGCCGUUGAAGGUGUGCUGUGAGGCAUGCUGGAGGUAUCAGAAGUGCGAAUGCUGACAUAAGUAACGAUAAAGCGGGUGAAAAGCCCGCUCGCCGGAAGACCAAGGGUUCCUGUCCAACGUUAAUCGGGGCAGGGUGAGUCGACCCCUAAGGCGAGGCCGAAAGGCGUAGUCGAUGGGAAACAGGUUAAUAUUCCUGUACUUGGUGUUACUGCGAAGGGGGGACGGAGAAGGCUAUGUUAGCCGGGCGACGGUUGUCCCGGUUUAAGCAUGUAGGCGGAGGUUCCAGGUAAAUCCGGUACCUUUUAACGCUGAGGUGUGAUGACGAGGCACUACGGUGCUGAAGUAACAAAUGCCCUGCUUCCAGGAAAAGCCUCUAAGCAUCAGGUAACAUCAAAUCGUACCCCAAACCGACACAGGUGGUCAGGUAGAGAAUACCAAGGCGCUUGAGAGAACUCGGGUGAAGGAACUAGGCAAAAUGGUGCCGUAACUUCGGGAGAAGGCACGCUGAUAUGUAGGUGAAGCCCCUGCGGGUGGAGCUGAAAUCAGUCGAAGAUACCAGCUGGCUGCAACUGUUUAUUAAAAACACAGCACUGUGCAAACACGAAAGUGGACGUAUACGGUGUGACGCCUGCCCGGUGCCGGAAGGUUAAUUGAUGGGGUUAGCGGCAACGCGAAGCUCUUGAUCGAAGCCCCGGUAAACGGCGGCCGUAACUAUAACGGUCCUAAGGUAGCGAAAUUCCUUGUCGGGUAAGUUCCGACCUGCACGAAUGGCGUAAUGAUGGCCAGGCUGUCUCCACCCGAGACUCAGUGAAAUUGAACUCGCUGUGAAGAUGCAGUGUACCCGCGGCAAGACGGAAAGACCCCGUGAACCUUUACUAUAGCUUGACACUGAACACUGGUCCUUGAUGUGUAGGAUAGGUGGGAGGCUUUGAAGUGUGGACGCCAGUCUGCAUGGAGCCGUCCUUGAAAUACCACCCUUUAAUGGCUGGUGUUCUAACGUAGACCCGUGAUCCGGGUUGCGGACAGUGUCUGGUGGGUAGUUUGACUGGGGCGGUCUCCUCCCAAAGAGUAACGGAGGAGCACGAAGGUUAGCUAAUCCUGGUCGGACAUCAGGAGGUUAGUGCAAUGGCAUAAGCUAGCUUGACUGCGAGAGUGACGGCUCGAGCAGGUGCGAAAGCAGGUCAUAGUGAUCCGGUGGUUCUGAAUGGAAGGGCCAUCGCUCAACGGAUAAAAGGUACUCCGGGGAUAACAGGCUGAUACCGCCCAAGAGUUCAUAUCGACGGCGGUGUUUGGCACCUCGAUGUCGGCUCAUCACAUCCUGGGGCUGAAGUAGGUCCCAAGGGUAUGGCUGUUCGCCAUUUAAAGUGGUACGCGAGCUGGGUUUAGAACGUCGUGAGACAGUUCGGUCCCUAUCUGCCGUGGGCGCUGGAGAAUUGAGGGGGGCUGCUCCUAGUACGAGAGGACCGGAGUGGACGCAUCACUGGUGUUCGGGUUGUCAUGCCAAUGGCACUGCCCGGUAGCUAAAUGCGGAAAAGAUAAGUGCUGAAAGCAUCUAAGCACGAAACUUGCCCCGAGAUGAGUUCUCCCUGAGACUUUAAGUCUCCUGAAGGAACGUUAAAGACGAUGACGUUGAUAGGUCGGGUGUGUAAGCGCAGCGAUGCGUUGAGCUAACCGAUACUAAUGAACCGUGAGGCUUAACCUUACAACGCCGAAG
Molecule: ribosomal RNA, 2926 nt
Filed under: Enterobacter roggenkampii
Lineage: Bacteria; Pseudomonadati; Pseudomonadota; Gammaproteobacteria; Enterobacterales; Enterobacteriaceae
Description: 23S ribosomal RNA
Rfam family: Bacterial large subunit ribosomal RNA
Source: RNAcentral